RNAcentral lists this ribosomal RNA (484 nucleotides) under uncultured bacterium. RNAcentral describes it as "partial 16S ribosomal RNA". It matches the Rfam family "Bacterial small subunit ribosomal RNA", at positions 28 to 507 of the family's 1533-position model. The record is from RNAcentral.
AUUGAACGCUGGCGGCAUGCUUUACACAUGCAAGUCGAACGGCAGCGCGGGCUCCGGCUUGCCGGGGGGUGGCGACCGGGUGGGUAUUCCACCGGAACGUGCCCGGUGGGGGGGGUAGGCCCGCCGAAAGCGGGUUAAUUCCGCCAACGGACCUGAGGUUGAAGCGGGGGGUUCUUCGGACCUGGCGCUAUUGGACCGGCCGAUGGCAGAUUAGCUAGUUGGUGGGGUAAAGGCCUACCAAGGCGACGAUCUGUAGCUGGUCUGAGAGGACGACCAGCCACACUGGGACUGAGACACGGCCCAGACUCCUACGGGAGGCAGCAGUGGGGAAUUUUGGACAAUGGGCGAAAGCCUGAUCCAGCAAUGCCGCGUGUGUGAUGAAGGCCUUCGGGUUGUAAAGCACUUUUGGCGGGAACGAAAAGGACUGUGCCAAUACCACGGUUCGAUGACGGUACCCGCAGAAUAAGCACCGGCUAACUACGUG